CCAUGGAUGACGGCGGCUGUGCCUGGAUGGCAUCGCAUGCGCCACCAGUUGCUCCACCGGCGGCUGUGGUGGCUGAGUCUGCUGCUGCUGAAGACUUCUAACCACCUCCGUAAGAACGUUCAUUUGCUACAUGAUUGCAGCAAUCUGGGCGUCCGUGGUGACCACGAGUCGCAGAGAAUUGGGCUCUGCUACCGAAGGCAGGA
RNAcentral lists this long non-coding RNA (203 nucleotides) under Elaeis guineensis (African oil palm). RNAcentral's name for it is "long non-coding RNA (EGUI_LNC023959)". The record is from RNAcentral. Lineage: Eukaryota; Viridiplantae; Streptophyta; Magnoliopsida; Arecales; Arecaceae.